UAGCUUUCAUAGAUAGUAAAAAUUACUAAAUUUUAAUCAUAUAAUAUUACUAAAAAAAUUAAAUACUAUUUAUUAUGUUUAACGGUGUCGAUCAUCAAUCUAGACACAUUAUUACUGGAAUCGACACAUAAUUAAACUUUUCUGUUUAUCUCAUAGAAAAUAUUAUAGUCAAAGCAUUUUGUUUAGUUUUUAAUAAAUCCUAAACCUUAAACUUAUGAAGGUGGUAAGAUUUACAUCUUAGCGGUAAAAUUUAUAGAAAGAUAAAAGAA
Molecule: long non-coding RNA, 269 nt
Filed under: Ananas comosus (pineapple)
Lineage: Eukaryota; Viridiplantae; Streptophyta; Magnoliopsida; Poales; Bromeliaceae
Description: long non-coding RNA (ACOM_LNC029988)
Source: RNAcentral